Molecule: ribosomal RNA, 99 nt
Filed under: Enterococcus faecium
Lineage: Bacteria; Bacillati; Bacillota; Bacilli; Lactobacillales; Enterococcaceae
Description: partial 16S ribosomal RNA
Rfam family: Bacterial small subunit ribosomal RNA
Source: RNAcentral
ACCUUCGGGAGGGCGCUUACCACUUUGUGAUUCAUGACUGGGGUGAAGUCGUAACAAGGUAACCCUAGGGGAACCUGGGGUUGGAUCACCUCCUUACCU